GAUGAACGCUGGCGGCGUGCCUAAUACAUGCAAGUCGAGCGAACAGACGAGGAGCUUGCUCCUCUGACGUUAGCGGCGGACGGGUGAGUAACACGUGGAUAACCUACCUAUAAGACUGGGAUAACUUCGGGAAACCGGAGCUAAUACCGGAUAAUAUAUUGAACCGCAUGGUUCAAUAGUGAAAGACGGUUUUGCUGUCACUUAUAGAUGGAUCCGCGCCGCAUUAGCUAGUUGGUAAGGUAACGGCUUACCAAGGCAACGAUGCGUAGCCGACCUGAGAGGGGGAUCGGCCACAAUGGAACUGAGACACGGUCCAGACGCCUACGGGAGGCAGCAGUAGGGAAUCUUCCGCAAUGGGCGAAAGCCUGACGGAGCAACGCCGCGUGAGUGAUGAAGGUCUUCGGAUCGUAAAACUCUGUUAUUAGGGAAGAACAAAUGUGUAAGUAACUAUGCACGUCUUGACGGUACCUAAUCAGAAAGCCACGGCUAACUACGUG
Molecule: ribosomal RNA, 497 nt
Filed under: uncultured bacterium
Lineage: Bacteria
Description: partial 16S ribosomal RNA
Rfam family: Bacterial small subunit ribosomal RNA
Source: RNAcentral